This is a non-coding RNA of Oryza sativa Japonica Group (Japanese rice), 736 nucleotides long. The record is from RefSeq and is a predicted model, not a curated record. NCBI's taxonomy places the organism in Eukaryota, Viridiplantae, Streptophyta, Magnoliopsida, Poales, Poaceae.
CGGUGCCGGUGACGGUGACGCCGCUGCCCGGCGGGAACGCGACCCUCCUGAGCCGCCGCCGCACCAGCUCCGUCAUGUCGCCGGAGUGCUCCUGCGAGCGCAGCGAGCUCUGCCCCGGUGCGACGCCGGCGUUCAGGGAGGCUCACCUGGGUCAUGCGAGGGCGGGAGCGUGCCGUGUGCCGCACCGCGGCGGCAGCGCAGGAGAUCAGCCGAUGCAUGUCGUGGGCGUCGUACAAGGCGUCAAGCUUUGGAUCGAUCAGAUCGUCGUAGACAUGCUGCUCUAGAGCUUUUGUCAGCUGAGGCCUUGCCUGCAUCGUCCAAAACAUAAAAGAAGAACAAAUUUAGUAGUCCUUACAGUUACAGAAUAAUCAGCCAUUAGUUAACGAGAUGUAACGCGAUGCUGUCACUGAAUCCACAAUAUAUAUAUAUUUUUUAAAAAAUGAAGUCAGAAGUCAGAAUUGGAUUGUACUAUGACACUGUACUAGUCUGUUGAAAAUCUGAUAGCAAGAAGUGGACCUGCAGGGGUUAAGUUUCGACAAAGUAUCAUGUCUAAAAGUUUUUUAAAGUCAUAGCCAGGCGGGGGCGGAGCGAGAGUAUAUUACGGGGGUGUACAGGAACCCAUGCAAGAAAAAUGUUUAGCUAUACCUUAUUUAUUUUCACCAUGCACCCCCUUCAAUACAAACUUAGACACCUGUAUCAACUUAAACUCAAUCUAAAAUAGAGUAAAUUAAACAAG